GCGAACGCUGGCGGCAGGCCUAACACAUGCAAGUCGAACGAACUCUUCGGAGUUAGUGGCGGACGGGUGAGUAACACGUGGGAACGUGCCUUUUGGUUCGGAAUAACUCAGGGAAACUUGUGCUAAUACCGAAUGUGCCCUUCGGGGGAAAGAUUUAUCGCCAUUAGAGCGGCCCGCGUCUGAUUAGCUAGUUGGUGAGGUAACGGCUCACCAAGGCGACGAUCAGUAGCUGGUCUGAGAGGAUGACCAGCCACACUGGGACUGAGACACGGCCCAGACUCCUACGGGAGGCAGCGGUGGGGAAUCUUGCGCAAUGGGCGAAAGCCUGACGCAGCCAUGCCGCGUGAAUGAUGAAGGUCUUAGGAUUGUAAAAUUCUUUCACCGGGGACGAUAAUGACGGUACCCGGAGAAGAAGCCCCGGCUAACUUCGUG
Molecule: ribosomal RNA, 432 nt
Filed under: uncultured bacterium
Lineage: Bacteria
Description: partial 16S ribosomal RNA
Rfam family: Bacterial small subunit ribosomal RNA
Source: RNAcentral